This 505-nucleotide ribosomal RNA is filed under the name uncultured bacterium. RNAcentral's name for it is "partial 16S ribosomal RNA". It matches the Rfam family "Bacterial small subunit ribosomal RNA", at positions 28 to 507 of the family's 1533-position model. The record is from RNAcentral.
GACGAACGCUGGCGGCGUGCCUAAUACAUGCAAGUAGAACGCACAGUUUAUACCGUAGCUUGCUACACCAUAAACUGUGAGUUGCGAACGGGUGAGUAACGCGUAGGUAACCUGCCUGGUAGCGGGGGAUAACUAUUGGAAACGAUAGCUAAUACCGCAUAAUAUUAAUUAUUGCAUGAUAAUUGAUUGAAAGAUGCAAUUGCAUCACUACCAGAUGGACCUGCGUUGUAUUAGCUAGUAGGUGAGGUAACGGCUCACCUAGGCGACGAUACAUAGCCGACCUGGGGGGGUGAACGGCCACACUGGGACUGAGACACGGCCCAGACUCCUUCGGGAGGCAGCAGUAGGGAAUCUUCGGCAAUGGACGAAAAUCUGACCGAGCAACGCCGCGUGGGUGAAGAAGGGUUUCGGAUCGUAAAGCUCUGUUGUAAGAGAAGAACGGGUGUGAGGGUGAAAAGUUCACACUGUGACGGUAUCUUACCAGAAAGGGACGGCUAACUACGUG